Amphiprion ocellaris (clown anemonefish) is the source of this 1954-nucleotide long non-coding RNA. NCBI's taxonomy places the organism in Eukaryota, Metazoa, Chordata, Actinopteri, Pomacentridae. The record is from Ensembl.
CUUUGGGGCAUUUAAUUAUAAGAAACAUACAUACAAUUAUCUGUUAAAUGUGGAUGUUUUGUCACCUGCUUUCAUUUCAAUAAAUGUGCAAAUAAUUGAAUGUUUCAGCAAAAAUCAGAGAUUAGACAAAAACUGCGUUUAAUGAUGUCACAUCCCCUCAGACGUUUCUGCUGCUCCCAUUGGAUGUUGGAAGUCACAUGACUGCUGGAUGAGGAAGUAUCUGGAAGAACAGGUGUAUAAGUGAGGCAGCAUGGGGAGUUUUCAGCUCGCUAUACCUGGACGUUUCUGCUGCUCCCAUUGGAUGUUGGAAGUCACAUGACUGCUGGAUGAGGAAGUAUCUGGAAGAACAGGUGUAUAAGUGAGGCAGCAUGGGGAGUUUUCAGCUCGCUAUACCUGGAAAUUCAAACUUCCAGCAGCUACAUGAGCAACAAGCUGCUGAUGCUCAUGUGCUUUUACUGGAGCAGGAAUUUUAUUGAAGAAAUUCUACCUUCCAGCAGCUACAGCAGCAACAAGCUGCUGAUACUCGUGAUUUUACUUGAGCAGCAGUUUUAGUGAAGAAAUUCAAACUUCCAGCAGCUACGACGGCAAAAAGCUGCUGAUACUCAUGGUUUUACUGGAGCGGGAGUUUUAUUGAAGCCUACAGGUUAUUGUGAAGAAAAAGGAAGUUAUCAAGCCAAUUUCAUAAAGAAAUUCAAACUUCCAGCGGCUACAACAGCAACAAGCUGCUGAUGCUCAUGUGCUUUUACUGGAGCAGGAGUUAUAUUGAAGUGUAAUCUGUUACCAGGAGCGUCCAGAUGGAGGCGGUGUGGCUCUUCCCUCAGAGCAGACAUGACUCACCACAGCUGACUCGUGCUGCAGCAUCACUUCAUUAUCUCAUUCACAAAAAAAAAAAAAAAAAUACAACCAUUAACUCCUCGGCGGGGCACUUGUGAGGAAUAUCAACUAAAUGAAAGGCUGCGAGAGCCAUAAAAGCAGCGCAAUCACAUCGAGCUACUUAAUUUGAUGGACUAUUUUAUCUGGAUACGCUGCAUUUAUUGUAUCUCCAUUAAAAGGUCAUGUUGGCUCUAAAUCAAGACGCUUAAUGGCCUGAGCAUUUGCCAACAGUAAGGGGAGAAAAAUAGCAAUUGUUAGAAGACAAACAGCCAGCACUGUUAAAAUAAUUGAAAGUAAUGAAAAGGAUUGGACGAUAGAAAACUUUAAGUCAAUAUAGUAUAUAAGCCCCAUUCAUAUGCAUUUCCAUAAUAGUAGCAGGUUUAUUUGCAUAUUUAAAAGAUAUAGAAAUGGGUGUCUUUCCAAUAUAUUCCUAAUAUUAAUAUCUGCAGAGAAAUUUAUUAGUAAAAAGUAAAAUUUCCCAGCUUUAGUGUCUAUUUUCUAAAUCAACAAAUUGAACUAAAAAGUUUCAGAAAAUAUGAAAAAAAUACAAUAAACCUCACAAUAAAUUGAUUUUUUUUCCCCAAGUUUUUGAAAUAAUCAGUUGAGCUGCAGAAAUCAUCAAAUUCAACAAUAGAUGUGAAGAAAUGACAUGAAAUCUCACAAUUUCUGGCAAUUUAUUCCAAAAAACCUCUAGGAUUUUUCAACUUAACUGUGUGUUUUCUGAAGCAAUCGAACCACUGAGCUGCAGAAAUCCUCAAACUGAACAUAAAAGUUUCAGAAAAUGUGAAAAACUAACAUUCAAUAUCUACAUUUGUUGAGAGAUUUAAUGUAAUUUCUAGCAAUUUAUCAUUAAAAAGCAGGAAUUCUUAACUUUGGUGACUGUUUUAAAUAUUAAUCAAACUUCUGAGCUGCAAAAAUCACCAAAUUGUACAAGAAAGUUUCAGUUAAUAUGAAGAAAUUACAUUAAAUAUCACUGUUUCUUUUGAAAUUUAAUGACAUUUCUAGCAAUUUAUUUUAAAAGGCUAUAUUUUUUCAAGUUUAGUGUCUGUUUAAGGAAUCAAUCAAACUUCUGAGCUGCAAA